UACGGGGGGGGCAAGCGUUGUUCGGAAUUACUGGGCGUAAAGGGCUCGUAGGUGGCCAACUAAGUCAUACGUGAAAUCCCUCAGCUUAACUGGGGAACUGCGUCUGAUACUGGAUGGCUUGAGUUUGGGAGAGGGAUGCGGAAUUCCAGGUGUAGCGGUGAAAUGCGUAGAUAUGCGGAGGAACACCGAUGGCGAAGGCGGCAUCCUGGACCGGUAUUGACGCUGAGGCGCGAAAGCCAGGGGAGCAAACGGG
RNAcentral lists this ribosomal RNA (253 nucleotides) under uncultured bacterium. Its description in RNAcentral is "partial 16S ribosomal RNA". It matches the Rfam family "Bacterial small subunit ribosomal RNA", at positions 524 to 776 of the family's 1533-position model. The record is from RNAcentral.